GGACUACCGGGGUAUCUAAUCCCGUUCGCUCCCCUGGCUUUCGCACCUCAGCGUCAGUCGCUCGCCAGGACACUGCCUUCGCCUUCGGUGUUCCUCCGGAUCUCUACGCAUUUCACCACUCCACCCGGAAUUCCGUGUCCCUCUCGAGCCCUCAAGUCGAACCGUCUUUCGCAUCCUCGGGAAGUUAAGCCUCCCGCUGUCACACAAAACGCGUCCGACCGCCUGCAUGCCCUUUACGCCCAGUAACUCCGGACAACGCUCGCCCCCUACGUAUUACCGCGGCGGCUGGCAC
RNAcentral lists this ribosomal RNA (292 nucleotides) under uncultured bacterium. RNAcentral's name for it is "partial 16S ribosomal RNA". The record is from RNAcentral.